CCUACGGGGGGCAGCAGUGGGGAAUAUUGGACAAUGGGCGAAAGCCUGAUCCAGCCAUGCCGCGUGUGUGAAGAAGGCCUUCGGGUUGUAAAGCACUUUCAGUGGGGAAGAAAGCCUUGGGGCUAAUACCCUCGAGGAAGGACAUCACCCACAGAAGAAGCACCGGCUAACUCCGUGCCAGCAGCCGCGGUAAUACGGAGGGUGCGAGCGUUAAUCGGAAUUACUGGGCGUAAAGCGCGCGUAGGCGGUCUGAUAAGCCGGUUGUGAAAGCCCCGGGCUCAACCUGGGAACGGCAUCCGGAACUGUCAGGCUAGAGGGCAGGAGAGGAAGGUAGAAUUCCCGGUGUAGCGGUGAAAUGCGUAGAGAUCGGGAGGAAUACCAGUGGCGAAGGCGGCCUUCUGGACUGACACUGACGCUGAGGUGCGAAAGCGUGGGUAGCAAACAGGAUUAGAUACCCUAGUAGUC
Molecule: ribosomal RNA, 465 nt
Filed under: Vreelandella stevensii
Lineage: Bacteria; Pseudomonadati; Pseudomonadota; Gammaproteobacteria; Oceanospirillales; Halomonadaceae
Description: partial 16S ribosomal RNA
Rfam family: Bacterial small subunit ribosomal RNA
Source: RNAcentral